This is a long non-coding RNA of Phalaenopsis equestris, 552 nucleotides long. RefSeq lists it as uncharacterized. The transcript has 3 exons. Lineage: Eukaryota; Viridiplantae; Streptophyta; Magnoliopsida; Asparagales; Orchidaceae. The record is from RefSeq and is a predicted model, not a curated record.
AGAUUUUUCUCCUCCCUUGAGCUCAACUCAGCCACAUGGUUAAUAAUAAUGAGAUGAUCGCCCGAGACUUCAAAUAAGAGGUACUUACCAAAGAUUCAAAUGCUGUUUCGGUUUGUUGGGAUGGAUCAUCUGCUUCUCCACUUCCUCCUGUCUACCCUAAACUGUAUAAGUUGGCUGAAUAGAUACUUCUACAACCUAUAUUUAUUCAUGUUGAGCUACAUAUGGUGUCAUCUUACGACGUCCAAGUUCAAACCAUAUCAACUCUGCUCCAAAAGGUGAUAACCCUUGCAAGAAAUUCUAUAGAUCCCUCAAAAAUCAAUUCAACAAAGAUUGCAAAUUUUUUUAGUGAGUCAAUGAACCUCGUGAUGCAACAUUGGAACAACAUGUUGAAGGAAAUAAUCUAAAGCUACGAUUAAGAAGAAUCUUGAAUACUUGAAAUGUUUUAUGAAGACUUUGCUCUUAUUUGAUUUGUGAUUGCAGUAUUUCUAUUAUUGUUGUUAGCGUUGCAUUUGUUUUUAAAAUGUUAUUGUAAUUUGGAAUAUGAAAUGCACU